AAACUUAGGUUAACAUAAANCCAAGAGCCUUCAAAGCCCUUAAUAAGGAC
RNAcentral lists this transfer RNA (50 nucleotides) under Anolis chrysolepis (goldenscale Anole). RNAcentral describes it as "partial tRNA-Trp". Lineage: Eukaryota; Metazoa; Chordata; Lepidosauria; Squamata; Anolidae. The record is from RNAcentral.